RNAcentral lists this ribosomal RNA (557 nucleotides) under uncultured bacterium. RNAcentral's name for it is "bacterial SSU rRNA". It matches the Rfam family "Bacterial small subunit ribosomal RNA", at positions 96 to 648 of the family's 1533-position model. The record is from RNAcentral.
CGGCGGACGGGUGAGUAAUGCCUAGGAAUCUGCCUGGUAGUGGGGGAUAACGUCCGGAAACGGACGCUAAUACCGCAUACGUCCUACGGGAGAAAGCAGGGGACCUUCGGGCCUUGCGCUAUCAGAUGAGCCUAGGUCGGAUUAGCUAGUUGGUGGGGUAAUGGCUCACCAAGGCGACGAUCCGUAACUGGUCUGAGAGGAUGAUCAGUCACACUGGAACUGAGACACGGUCCAGACUCCUACGGGAGGCAGCAGUGGGGAAUAUUGGACAAUGGGCGAAAGCCUGAUCCAGCCAUGCCGCGUGUGUGAAGAAGGUCUUCGGAUUGUAAAGCACUUUAAGUUGGGAGGAAGGGCAGUAAAUUAAUACUUUGCUGUUUUGACGUUACCGACAGAAUAAGCACCGGCUAACUCUGUGCCAGCAGCCGCGGUAAUACAGAGGGUGCAAGCGUUAAUCGGAAUUACUGGGCGUAAAGCGCGCGUAGGUGGUUCGUUAAGUUGGAUGUGAAAUCCCCGGGCUCAACCCUGGGAACUGCAUUCAAAACUGACGAGCUAGAGUA